GGUUUCUUGGCGCAGUUGGUUAGCGCGUCUCCUUAACAACUUCAGAUCGUUAGGGCUUACGGAGGAGGUCGCCGGUUCGAACCUGGCAGAAAUCA
Sporisorium reilianum f. sp. reilianum is the source of this 95-nucleotide non-coding RNA. The record is from the annotation of a GenBank genome assembly. NCBI's taxonomy places the organism in Eukaryota, Fungi, Basidiomycota, Ustilaginomycetes, Ustilaginales, Ustilaginaceae.